RNAcentral lists this ribosomal RNA (489 nucleotides) under fungal sp. CDKVS10. Its description in RNAcentral is "eukaryotic LSU rRNA". The stretch from base 120 to 273 matches the Rfam family "5.8S ribosomal RNA". Lineage: Eukaryota; Fungi. The record is from RNAcentral.
CAUACCUAUACGUUGCCUCGGCGGAUCAGCCCGCGCCCCGUAAAACGGGACGGCCCGCCCGAGGACCCCUAAACUCUGUUUUUAGUGGAACUUCUGAGUAAAACAAACAAAUAAAUCAAAACUUUCAACAACGGAUCUCUUGGUUCUGGCAUCGAUGAAGAACGCAGCAAAAUGCGAUAAGUAAUGUGAAUUGCAGAAUUCAGUGAAUCAUCGAAUCUUUGAACGCACAUUGCGCCCGCCAGUAUUCUGGCGGGCAUGCCUGUUCGAGCGUCAUUUCAACCCUCAAGCUCAGCUUGGUGUUGGGACUCGCGGUAACCCGCGUUCCCCAAAUCGAUUGGCGGUCACGUCGAGCUUCCAUAGCGUAGUAAUCAUACACCUCGUUACUGGUAAUCGUCGCGGCCACGCCGUUAAACCCCAACUUCUGAAUGUUGACCUCGGAUCAGGUAGGAAUACCCGCUGAACUUAAGCAUAUCAAUAAGCGGAGGAAAA